RNAcentral lists this ribosomal RNA (521 nucleotides) under Paguropsis typica. RNAcentral describes it as "partial 16S ribosomal RNA". It matches the Rfam family "Bacterial large subunit ribosomal RNA", at positions 1831 to 2597 of the family's 2925-position model. Lineage: Eukaryota; Metazoa; Arthropoda; Malacostraca; Decapoda; Diogenidae. The record is from RNAcentral.
GUCUGUGUGAAGGUGUACGGAGUCUAGCCUGCCCACUGAUUAAUAUUAAAGGGCCGCGGUAUUCUGACCGUGCGAAGGUAGCAUAAUCAUUAGUCUUUUAAUUGGAGGCUUGUAUGAAUGGUUGAACGAAAAAUAGACUGUCUUCCUAAUUAAAACUGAAUUUAACAUUUAAGUGAAAAGGCUUAAAUAUAGUAAAAAGACGAUAAGACCCUAUAAAUCUUUAUAUUACUACUAAAUUUAAAGUUAAGUGUAAGUUUAAAAUCUACUAAAUUUAUAAUAAUAUUUUGUUGGGGCAACAUAGAUAGCAAAGAUUAUCUGUCUAAGAAAAUUACAGGAAAUAGCUGAAUAGGUUUGUUAAGAUCCUUUAUAGAGAUUAGAAGAUAAAGUUACUUUAGGGAUAACAGCGUUAUUUUACUUGAGAGUUCCCAUCGAAAGUAAAGUUUGCGACCUCGAUGUUGAAUUAAAAUUUUCUUUAUGGUGCAGCCGCUAUAGAAGAGAGUCUGUUCGACUUUUAAAAUUUU